Molecule: ribosomal RNA, 305 nt
Filed under: uncultured bacterium
Lineage: Bacteria
Description: bacterial SSU rRNA
Rfam family: Bacterial small subunit ribosomal RNA
Source: RNAcentral
ACCUACGGGGGGCAGCAGUGAGGAAUAUUGGUCAAUGGUCUGGAGACUGAACCAGCCAAGCCGCGUGAGGGAUGAAGGUACAGAGUAUCGUAAACCUCUUUUGUCAGGGAACAAAGGCGGGGACGUGUCCCCGGAUGAGUGUACCUGAAGAAAAAGCAUCGGCUAACUCCGUGCCAGCAGCCGCGGUAAUACGGAGGAUGCGAGCGUUAUCCGGAUUUAUUGGGUUUAAAGGGUGCGCAGGCGGUCUGUUAAGUCAGCGGUCAAAGCCCGGGGCUCAACCCCGGCCCGCCGUUGAAACUGGCAGU